Molecule: ribosomal RNA, 497 nt
Filed under: uncultured bacterium
Lineage: Bacteria
Description: partial 16S ribosomal RNA
Rfam family: Bacterial small subunit ribosomal RNA
Source: RNAcentral
GAUGAACGCUGGCGGCGUGCCUAAUACAUGCAAGUCGAGCGAACGGACGAGAAGCUUGCUUCUCUGAUGUUAGCGGCGGACGGGUGAGUAACACGUGGAUAACCUACCUAUAAGACUGGGAUAACUUCGGGAAACCGUAGCUAAUACCGGAUAAUAUUUUGAACCGCAUGGUUAAAAAUUGAAAGACGUUCUUGCUGUCACUUAUAGAUGGUUCCGCGCUGCAUUAGCUAGUUGGUAAGGUAACGGCUUACCAAGGCAACGAUGCAUAGCCGACCUGAGAGGGUGAUCGGCCACACUGGAACUGAGACACGGUCCAGACUCCUACGGGAGGCAGCAGUAGGGAAUCUUCCGCAAUGGGCGAAAGCCUGACGGAGCAACGCCGCGUGAGUGAUGAAGGUCUUCGGAUCGUAAAACUCUGUUAUUAGGGAAGAACAUAUGUGUAAGUAACUGUGCACAUCUUGACGGUACCUAAUCAGAAAGCCACGGCUAACUACGUG